Syngnathoides biaculeatus (alligator pipefish) is the source of this 4850-nucleotide long non-coding RNA. RefSeq lists it as uncharacterized. The record is from RefSeq and is a predicted model, not a curated record. The transcript has 4 exons. NCBI's taxonomy places the organism in Eukaryota, Metazoa, Chordata, Actinopteri, Syngnathiformes, Syngnathidae.
CACAACGAAGCCGACCUUCUCGAUGAACCGGGCCGGGCCUCGUGACUCUGAAAACGGUCAUUAAACGGAUCAACAUUUCUCCCGACGUGACCGAGCGACGGGGAAUCGUACGUUAACGCAAAUGAGAUUCUACUCCCUUUCAUUAAUAUACAAGGUAAGAUUUGAAACUCGAUCGACUGCGACAUUUGGGACGAAGUGGCUGAGGAAGCUGCGAAUAUAUCAGUCGUUUAUGGGUGGUCUUUUUCAUUAAUAUACCAUCCAUCCGUCAUCCAAGCCACUUGUCCUCACAAGGGUGACGGGAAAGGCGGAGCCUAUCCCAGCUUGCUUCCGGCGAAAGGCGGACUGCACCCUGAACUGGUCGCCAGUCAGUCGCGGGGCAGAUAUCGACACCAUCGCUGAGCGGGAAUCGAUCCCACCCUGCCCGCUUCAAAGAAAGCGAAUCCACGUAGGCACGGGGAGAACAUGAAAACUCCACACAGGCGGGGCCGGGAUCGAACCCAGGACCUCCGAACUGUGAGGCCAACGCUUUCUAGUACAUUGAUAUUCUACGUUUUCUACUAAUGGACUGAAGAAUUCUACCAAUCUUGCACAAGUCUGACAGAUCUCCAGGUACACCAUCAGGGCACCCCUCCGGGCCCACUCUACUUUCCGAAAAGUGAGUCGCACAGAUGGACGAUGUCCGCCCGGAGGCGGAGUAUUGUAUCAUCACCUUCGUGGUCAAGCCGGCCCACUCAACGCGGCGCUAGCGUUACAUCUUCCCCAAGCGAUAGGCCGGUUCCGGGCUCGGCUCGGGAGGAUGACCUUGCGGCGGAACGGUGAAAAUCGAUCAGACCCCGGAAAAAGAAAGUGGACAGAAGGCAAUUCCUGACUCCUCUAACCUCCAGAUGUUGGUUCCUAGAGGUUACAGCUGCAGAUUUACGAGCCCCCGCGCCAGCCUUGGCGCAUAUUUCACACGGAUGAAUGCGCUAACGAGGACUGGCGUUUUUACGAUCCUCCUCUUCUCGCCGCAGUUUAUUUGGCGAGACGGCGACGGAGCGGAAAGUGAUGUUGAUAUUUAAAGGUGAGGCGAAAAGAUUUGGUGCAUUUGAGAAAAUUGGGAAAUUGGACGCAUCGUAUUUGGACCUCGUAAUGAGAAGGGAAAAAAACAAAAACAAAAAAAGCGGAACCCCACAAAUUAUUUUUGGUAGCUUUGACUUGUUUUUACAUUUCCCCACAAACAAACGGAAAAUAAUAAGUAAGGAACUAAGUAAUUGCAAAACUCUUCUAGUCAUUGGCCAGUCUAAAAAAAAAAAGUGACAAAUUGUAUUUGAUCAUUGCUGAAAACAUACUAGUCAUUGGUGACCCCAAAACGAGUACCGUUAUUCCUGGCCUACAGCGUGCACCUGGUUAUAAGCCUCGGUACACAGUUUAAUGCUAGCACUGUGCUAGCGUUAGGGCGGAGCUAGCAUUAGCACGAGGAUAGCGUUAGCACAGCACUAGUGUUAAACUCUUUCCGUGAACCGACGCUUAUAACCAGUGCGCUAACAUUAGCACCCCGCUAACGCUGGCGCUGCAUCACCGCAUAAACCGCGGGGUUGAAAGCGUGUGAAAAAAAUUACUCACGGAAAUUACGGUAGUGAUUAAUUAGAUAUGACCAAUGCAGGAAACAUUCUUGUCAUUGGCAACUCUGAUAAAGUUAUGAUGAAUUGCUUAUGAACCUUGCUGAAAAUAUUAUAGUCACGGGCCAUCCUAAAAAGGCCAGUACAGGAAAAAAAAUAUGAAAUAGGAGUGAUUAAUUGUAUAUGACCGUGGAAGACAUUCUAGACAUUGGUCACUCCAAAAAAAGUCAUAAUAAAUUGUGUGACCGCUUCAGUCAUUGGCUACUCUGAAUAGUGUUUACUCACAUCUGGCCACUGUAGAAAACAUGAUAGUCAUUGGCCUCUGUGAAAAAUGUAGUACUUAAAUGUAUGUGUGGACAAUAUUUAAGUUUUUGGUCACUCUAAAAAAUUAAUUGUUGAAGACCAUUGUGAUAAACAUUAUCCAGUCGUGGGCCACUCUAAAAAGUGUUUGAAUUUUACCAUCCAAUGCAAAAACCCCAAAAAAUAAUUAAUCCAGUCACUGACUAUUCUAAUAAUGCAGUGAUUAAUUCUAUGUGAUCACGACAAAAAAGGUCUUCAAGUCACGUUCCUUUGCAGUUUUCCUCGUCAAAUUCCAGAUGUCCUAGUUUUCGCGAAGGCGAUGCGUUUUACAGGGAUUUUCAUUGGUUGGGUACAGAAGGGUGAACCAGUCAAAAGUGGCCGCGGACUUCCUCACGGGCUAAUGGGACAUUCAUUACUCUCCAUUGUCCAAAACAGACAAGAAAGGCCUUGGGAUAGUGUUUCCAUCCCAUUAAACGAUGUGAAAAAUGAUAACGGCGGGUGGUAGACUUUAGAAGGGCGUGCCGUGUACGACGCCGUGUUGGCUCAUUGAUCACCAAUGACAAACUGUUAUCCCGGAGUGGCCGGAUCAAUCGCUCAUUUAGCCUUUCCGAGCGGACACAUUGACUGAUGAAGACCCCUCGCUCACCCGCAGAGAAUAAAGACAGCGUUCACGUGAUGGAGGAUUUCAACCUCCAGUGCGCCAAAACCCGCCGGCCCUUUACAUCACGCGGGAUGCCUUUUGCGAUGGUUCUAUUUUCCACGCUACUGGAGUAAAUAUUGCAAUUCGUCUUGAUAUCCGUCACGUUACGCAUUGGGCGUCUUUUUAUAGCCGUCGUUUAUUGCACGGGGGGCCUCGCGAGCUGCACUUUGCGGUCUGAAUACAUUGUCACGGCUGUCUAAUAGCGACGUAGAAUCAUUCCCGCAAACGCUAGGCGACAUUACACAACGACAACAACAACAAAAAACUGAUCUGAUUCUUGAUUUGUGUCGCUGCGCUAUCAUUUGACCACUAGAUGAUAAUAAAAUACCUACUUGGACCUUUAGGAGUAUUGCAUGUGUCGCUCAUAAUUGUUCCUCAAAGGAUAAAUAAAUACAUAUUCACUGUUAUUUAGAGGAAUUAAAUGCUGUAAAUGAGUAAAUUAAAAUACAUUUAGUAUCUGGCCAAUACAGAAAAUAUUCUAGCCAUUGCCCACUACAAAAAAUAGUGGCGAGUUCUGUCAUUGGCCACUCUGAAAUGCAGUCACUCAAUUUUAAAAAUGGACGGGUGUAAUCGGUCAUGCCCGCGGAUAUAAAGUUACUGUUGUGGUCCACCGGUCAUGCCCGCAGAUAUAUGUGAUGAGGGAUGGAAUCUCAGGACCUUAAAAUAACUUCCUGGGAUUGUCAUACCCGAGUAUGUAGUUGUUACCCAAUACCACAAUCGUAAAACAGACAUUUUCAAAGAGGUCAAUAGACAUUCAAUUUCAAAACCAAAUAUUCAUAUCAUCAAAUCAUUUUAUUUCAUCGUGAUGUAUUGUUUUAAUCCCGCGUAAUUUACGGCGCUAUCUGUUGUCAAUCCAUUGAUGAAAGCUAGCAGGAGAUGAUCUAUAUCUUCCUAAAGCAUGGAGAGGGGAAAGGUUUUCGACUUGAAGAUAAUGAGGUACUACGUUGGAAAAUUACAUAUAUAUGAUAUAUGGACAGACUAGUCUGACAUUAGAAUUUAGAUCAAGUCAAAGUAAAUCACUAUUUCAUAUUUAUUAUAGUUAGAUACUGAAAGAUUACCUGUGUUAUAUCCCAGAAAUGCUUUCAAUGUAAUAUAGGGGUACCGAGAUUUUUUCCCCCCAAGAUCUACUUUUCAAGCAGCUCGCCUCUAGCGAUCGACCGGCGUGGCGGGGGUGGCCGGAUGAACGCGUGCGUCGCCGCGACUGCUGUAAAUGCAAGGCCGGCUUGCUAGACCGCACCUUUAUGUGCGUGCGCACCACAUAUUGGCCACACCCGAAUCAAGAUUAUAGUCUAACGUCGUCGCCGUCACAAAACUGCCUCGCGAUCGACUCAUUGAGCACCCCUGGUGUAACGGAAUUUCCUUUGACGUGGCUCAUGAUGUUGAUGACUUUCGACGUAAAUGCGCUCGCAGUACGUGAAGCACCUCGGAACAUGCGCUUUUGGCAUCACUUCACGGUUAACUUCCAUUUCCUGUUUCCGGGUGAAUACUGAUUGUUUAGGAGCAGGCUUGUUUUGUUAACAACGUUUAUGAAAUAAACACGUAAAUUAAUGCCAAGACUACACAAAAUAAGCGACAUCCUUCAAUAUCUAUUUUUUCUACCCGUAACAAAUUUUGCGCGUGUGAUUUGUCGUGCUCGACUGUGCAGAUUUGCGAGCGCGAUGGCGCGCGGGCGUGAACGCACUCGUCAAAUGCUUAUGACUGAAAAUGCGCUUACAUUUAUUCGACCAAUCCAGUAAAAUCUUGUCAGCGGCCUUGCCAGAAAAUUAAUGGGAUUAAUUCUAUGUGGACAACUGAUGAAAAUGUUCUAGUCUUUGGCCAGUCUAAAAAGCGUUUAAAUAUAUCUGACCAACACAGAAUUUAUUGUCAUGAUUAGUCAUUCUAAAAAUGUAGCGAUGAAUUGCAACUGAACAAAUGAUGAAUCAUUUCCACGGUCAUUAGCCACUGGAAAAAUUUCUGACGGUGCAGAAAGUGUUGUAGUCAUUGGCCCCUCUAAAAGAGUAUUGAUGAAUUGUAUCUGAUCAUUGCUGAAAUCAGAUUUCUCUCUUUUGUUUUUUUAAAGAUUUAUCAUCCACAAAUGACUAACGGGCUAUUUCAUUGCAAGCGACUUUCUCACUUUCAUCAUUUAACCUCCAGAAGAAUCUCAUUUGGCAUUCCGCCGCACUUCUUUUGACUGUUGCUCGCGGCGCCGCCGUUCGCCGUUGGUGCGUUUCGAGGGCCACGCCGCUCUCCUGCAGACGGCGGGAUGGGAAAAA